This 478-nucleotide ribosomal RNA is filed under the name uncultured bacterium. RNAcentral's name for it is "partial 16S ribosomal RNA". It matches the Rfam family "Bacterial small subunit ribosomal RNA", at positions 28 to 523 of the family's 1533-position model. The record is from RNAcentral.
GACGAACGCUGGCGGCGUGCUUAACACAUGCAAGUCGAACGGUAAGGCCCUUCGGGGUACACGAGUGGCGAACGGGUGAGUAACACGUGGGUGAUCUGCCCUGCACUUCGGGAUAAGCCUGGCAAACUGGGUCUAAUACCGGAUAGGACCACUGCCUGCAUUGGUGGUGGUGGCAAGCUUUUGCGGUGUGGGACGGGCCCGCGGCCUAUCAGGUUGGUGGUGGGGUGAGGGCCUGCCAAGGCGACGACGGGUAGCCGGCCUGAGAGGGUGACCGGCCACACUGGGACUGAGAUACGGCCCAGACUCCUACGGGAGGCAGCAGUGGGGAAUAUUGCACAAUGGGCGCAAGCCUGAUGCAGCGACGCCGCGUGAGGGAUGACGGCCUUCGGGUUGUAAACCUCUUUCAGCACCGACGAAGCGCAAGUGACGGUAGGUGCAGAAGAAGGACCGGCCAACUACGUGCCAGCAGCCGCCGUAA